Molecule: ribosomal RNA, 1187 nt
Filed under: Escherichia coli
Lineage: Bacteria; Pseudomonadati; Pseudomonadota; Gammaproteobacteria; Enterobacterales; Enterobacteriaceae
Description: partial 23S ribosomal RNA
Rfam family: Bacterial large subunit ribosomal RNA
Source: RNAcentral
GUUAAGCGACUAAGCGUACACGGUGGAUGCCCUGGCAGUCAGAGGCGAUGAAGGACGUGCUAAUCUGCGAUAAGCGUCGGUAAGGUGAUAUGAACCGUUAUAACCGGCGAUUUCCGAAUGGGGAAACCCAGUGUGUUUCGACACACUAUCAUUAACUGAAUCCAUAGGUUAAUGAGGCGAACCGGGGGAACUGAAACAUCUAAGUACCCCGAGGAAAAGAAAUCAACCGAGAUUCCCCCAGUAGCGGCGAGCGAACGGGGAGCAGCCCAGAGCCUGAAUCAGUGUGUGUGUUAGUGGAAGCGUCUGGAAAGGCGCGCGAUACAGGGUGACAGCCCCGUACACAAAAAUGCACAUGCUGUGAGCUCGAUGAGUAGGGCGGGACACGUGGUAUCCUGUCUGAAUAUGGGGGGACCAUCCUCCAAGGCUAAAUACUCCUGACUGACCGAUAGUGAACCAGUACCGUGAGGGAAAGGCGAAAAGAACCCCGGCGAGGGGAGUGAAAAAGAACCUGAAACCGUGUACGUACAAGCAGUGGGAGCACGCUUAGGCGUGUGACUGCGUACCUUUUGUAUAAUGGGUCAGCGACUUAUAUUCUGUAGCAAGGUUAACCGAAUAGGGGAGCCGAAGGGAAACCGAGUCUUAACUGGGCGUUAAGUUGCAGGGUAUAGACCCGAAACCCGGUGAUCUAGCCAUGGGCAGGUUGAAGGUUGGGUAACACUAACUGGAGGACCGAACCGACUAAUGUUGAAAAAUUAGCGGAUGACUUGUGGCUGGGGGUGAAAGGCCAAUCAAACCGGGAGAUAGCUGGUUCUCCCCGAAAGCUAUUUAGGUAGCGCCUCGUGAAUUCAUCUCCGGGGGUAGAGCACUGUUUCGGCAAGGGGGUCAUCCCGACUUACCAACCCGAUGCAAACUGCGAAUACCGGAGAAUGUUAUCACGGGAGACACACGGCGGGUGCUAACGUCCGUCGUGAAGAGGGAAACAACCCAGACCGCCAGCUAAGGUCCCAAAGUCAUGGUUAAGUGGGAAACGAUGUGGGAAGGCCCAGACAGCCAGGAUGUUGGCUUAGAAGCAGCCAUCAUUUAAAGAAAGCGUAAUAGCUCACUGGUCGAGUCGGCCUGCGCGGAAGAUGUAACGGGGCUAAACCAUGCACCGAAGCUGCGGCAGCGACACUAUGUGUUGUUGGGUA